UACGUAGGUGGCAAGCGUUGUCCGGAAUCACUGGGCGUAAAGCGCGCGCAGGCGGCGUUCUACGUCUGGGGUGAAAGCCCGGAGCUCAACUCCGGGACUGCCUUGGAUACGGGAUCGCUUGAGGAUUGGAGAGGCAAGGGGAAUUCCACGUGUAGCGGUGAAAUGCGUAGAUAUGUGGAGGAACACCUGUGGCGAAGGCGGCGCUCUGGGCCGGUACUGACACUGAGGAGCGAAAGCGUGGGGAGCGAACAGG
Molecule: ribosomal RNA, 253 nt
Filed under: uncultured bacterium
Lineage: Bacteria
Description: partial 16S ribosomal RNA
Rfam family: Bacterial small subunit ribosomal RNA
Source: RNAcentral